GAUGAACGCUGGCGGCGUGCUUAACACAUGCAAGUCGAGCGAAGCGAUUUUAAGGAAGCUUUCGGGUGGAAUUAAAAUUGACUGAGCGGCGGACGGGUGAGUAACGCGUGGGUAACAUGCCUCAUACAGGGGGAUAACAGUUAGAAAUGACUGCUAAUACCGCAUAAGCGCACAGUGCUGCAUAGCACAGUGUGAAAAACUCCGGUGGUAUGAGAUGGACCCGCGUCUGAUUAGGUAGUUGGUAGGGUAACGGCCUACCAAGCCGACGAUCAGUAGCCGACCUGAGAGGGUGACCGGCCACAUUGGGACUGAGACACGGCCCAAACUCCUACGGGAGGCAGCAGUGGGGAAUAUUGGACAAUGGGGGAAACCCUGAUCCAGCGACGCCGCGUGAGUGAAGAAGUAUUUCGGUAUGUAAAGCUCUAUCAGCAGGGAAGAAAAUGACGGUACCUGACUAAGAAGCCCCGGCUAACUACGUGCCAGCCGCCGCAGUAA
This 495-nucleotide ribosomal RNA is filed under the name uncultured bacterium. RNAcentral describes it as "partial 16S ribosomal RNA". It matches the Rfam family "Bacterial small subunit ribosomal RNA", at positions 28 to 523 of the family's 1533-position model. The record is from RNAcentral.